RNAcentral lists this unclassified non-coding RNA (239 nucleotides) under Hevea brasiliensis (rubber tree). Lineage: Eukaryota; Viridiplantae; Streptophyta; Magnoliopsida; Malpighiales; Euphorbiaceae. The record is from RNAcentral.
CACUUAAGACGGAUACUUAGAGGUCAGGCUUCUCUGUUUGACUGGUCGAGAUCAACUUCACUAGCAAGAACUUUGUCUCCCCGAGUUCUAGAAAGUCAAGUAGAUGCCAAGAAGGAACUGGAGAAAAGCCUAAAAGCAACUUGUGAGGAGUUCAUCAUGUCGGUCACUAAGCUGGUUGUGGAUCCGAUGCUUUCAUUUGUUACCAAGGUUACUGCUGUAAAAGUUGCACUGUCUUCUGG